GAGAGUUAAAUAGUACGUGAAAUUGUUGAAAGGGAAACGAUUGAAGUCAGUCAUGCUAGUGAAAAAUCAGUUUGACGGGUUUUGAGUUCAAGAGUAGAGGCAGGGUCAAACCGUUUCUCUUUUGGACUUGGGAUUUGUUAGAUGUACUUUUUCUUUGGCAGGUCAGCGUCGAUUUCGGAGGUUGUAAAAUACUUGGGGGAAAGUAACUCUGCUUCGGGAGAGUAUUAUAGACCCUGGGGGAUGCAGCCUGCGGGAUCGAGGAUUGCAGCAAAUGCCUUUGGCUUGUCGCCUGAUCUCUGGAUGUUACCUCGCUUGUGACAACAUUCUUGCCACCUGUGGGUACUAAUGCCCAUUAGGUUAGAGCGAUCAAAAAUUUUGCUAAGGAUGCUGACGUAAUGGCUUUAAACGA
This 409-nucleotide ribosomal RNA is filed under the name uncultured Diversispora. RNAcentral describes it as "partial 28S ribosomal RNA". Lineage: Eukaryota; Fungi; Glomeromycota; Glomeromycetes; Diversisporales; Diversisporaceae. The record is from RNAcentral.